CAGUUCGGAUUGCAGCCUGCAACUCGGCUGCAUGAAGCUGGAAUCGCUAGUAAUCGCAGAUCAGAAUGCUGCGGUGAAUACGUUCCCGGGUCUUGUACACACCGCCCGUCACACCAUGGGAGUUGGAAAUGCCCGAAGUCAGUGACCGAACCGAAAGGAAGGAGCUGCCGAAGGUGGAGCCGAUGACUGGGGUGAAGUCGUAACAAGGUAAC
RNAcentral lists this ribosomal RNA (212 nucleotides) under uncultured bacterium. RNAcentral describes it as "partial 16S ribosomal RNA". It matches the Rfam family "Bacterial small subunit ribosomal RNA", at positions 1289 to 1500 of the family's 1533-position model. The record is from RNAcentral.